CCCAUUCCCACAACAGACUACUCCACAGCACUGACCAUAUCACGUGUGAGACUCCUUUGUCUCAGUGGUGAGAUCCUCAAGGGCAAGGUCAUGUCUCUGACCCCAGAGUUCAGCUCACCUAUGCUAAAGGAGUGAACAGAACCUAACACUGCCUGCGGCGGCAGGGACAACUGGAAGCUCAUCGGGGACAAAAUUCUCUCCAACUACGACCCUGUGAAAACUUCCUCCCCUGGGACCAAAUAAGUAUCUGAUUGGUGACAAUGAGAGAAACAACGAAGCAUGUGCAACUCAGCCCCAUCCUUCCUUCUCUCCCUAAGCCUCCUCAGUAAGGGAGAUGGCCUGCCCCAGGAGGAGACUUGCAUUCACCUAGGUCCCUACUACAGGUUGGGCCCUCAUCAUUAAAAAAAAGCUGCUUCCUCUGACUCUUCCUCAAUCCAUCCUUCCCAGUGUGGUAGGACAUAUUCCAUAGCUCAUGACAUCACUCUGCUGCUCCCAAACCUUCCACGCCUGACAUAUUUUGAAGUUUGGCUCAAGUCUUCUAAUACCACCCACCUUCUUACCAAGUUGAGUCCCAGCUACACCAGACUACCUCCCACCCCCAAUAUAGAAAGGUUUUCUGUUUUCUUUGUUUUUUGUUUUUGUUUUUUGUUUUUUGUUUUUCGUUUUCUUUACUUGGGAUGCUUUUUUCCAUCUAUACUUCAAAUCCCACCCAUUCUGAGGCCUUGUCCAAAUGUUCCAUAUCUAGGAGGACUUUCCUGACUGCUACCUCAAAUUCCCAAAGAUGCUAGA
This is a long non-coding RNA of Sciurus carolinensis (gray squirrel), 789 nucleotides long. RefSeq lists it as uncharacterized. The record is from RefSeq and is a predicted model, not a curated record. The transcript has 3 exons. Lineage: Eukaryota; Metazoa; Chordata; Mammalia; Rodentia; Sciuridae.